Molecule: ribosomal RNA, 207 nt
Filed under: uncultured bacterium
Lineage: Bacteria
Description: partial 16S ribosomal RNA
Rfam family: Bacterial small subunit ribosomal RNA
Source: RNAcentral
CGGAUUGUAGUCUGNAACCCGACUACAUGAAGCUGGAAUCGCUAGUAAUCGCGGAUCAGAAUGCCGCGGUGAAUACGUUCCCGGGUCUUGUACACACCGCCCGUCACACCAUGGGAGUCGGAAAUGCCCGAAGUCAGUGACCCAACCGUAAGGAGGGAGCUGCCGAAGGUGGAGCCGGUAACUGGGGUGAAGUCGUAACAAGGUAGC